ACGAACGCUGGCGGCGUGCUUAACCCCUGCAAGUCGCACGGAAAGGCCCUGCUUUUGUGGGGUGCUCGAGUGGCGAACGGGUGAGUAACACGUGAGUAACCUGCCCUUGACUUUGGGAUAACUUCAGGGAACUGGGGCUAAUACCGGAUAGGAGCUCCUGCUGCAUGGUGGGGGUUGGAAAGUUUCGGCGGUUGGGGAUGGACUCGCGGCUUAUCAGCUUGUUGGUGGGGUAGUGGCUUACCAAGGCUUUGACGGGUAGCCGGCCUGAGAGGGUGACCGGCCACAUUGGGACUGAGAUACGGCCCAGACUCCUACGGGAGGCAGCAGUGGGGAAUAUUGCACAAUGGGCGGAAGCCUGAUGCAGCAACGCCGCGUGCGGGAUGACGGCCUUCGGGUUGUAAACCGCUUUCGCCUGUGACGAAGCGUGAGUGACGGUAAUGGGUAAAGAAGCACCGGCUAACUACGUG
This 467-nucleotide ribosomal RNA is filed under the name uncultured bacterium. RNAcentral describes it as "partial 16S ribosomal RNA". It matches the Rfam family "Bacterial small subunit ribosomal RNA", at positions 29 to 507 of the family's 1533-position model. The record is from RNAcentral.